Molecule: ribosomal RNA, 1372 nt
Filed under: uncultured bacterium
Lineage: Bacteria
Description: bacterial SSU rRNA
Rfam family: Bacterial small subunit ribosomal RNA
Source: RNAcentral
GAUGAACGCUGGCGGCGUGCCUAAUACAUGCAAGUCGAGCGAACGGACGAGAAGCUUGCUUCUCUGAUGUUAGCGGCGGACGGGUGAGUAACACGUGGAUAACCUACCUAUAAGACUGGGAUAACUUCGGGAAACCGGAGCUAAUACCGGAUAAUAUUUUGAACCGCAUGGUUCAAAAGUGAAAGACGGUCUUGCUGUCACUUAUAGAUGGAUCCGCGCUGCAUUAGCUAGUUGGUAAGGUAACGGCUUACCAAGGCAACGAUGCAUAGCCGACCUGAGAGGGUGAUCGGCCACACUGGAACUGAGACACGGUCCAGACUCCUACGGGAGGCAGCAGUAGGGAAUCUUCCGCAAUGGGCGAAAGCCUGACGGAGCAACGCCGCGUGAGUGAUGAAGGUCUUCGGAUCGUAAAACUCUGUUAUUAGGGAAGAACAUAUGUGUAAGUAACUGUGCACAUCUUGACGGUACCUAAUCAGAAAGCCACGGCUAACUACGUGCCAGCAGCCGCGGUAAUACGUAGGUGGCAAGCGUUAUCCGGAUUAUUGGGCGUAAAGCGCGCGUAGGCGGUUUUUUAAGUCUGAUGUGAAAGCCCACGGCUCAACUCUUGGAGGGUCAUUGGAAACUGGAAAACUUGAGUGCAGAAGAGGAAAGUGGAAUUCCAUGUGUAGCGGUGAAAUGCGCAGAGAUAUGGAGGAACACCAGUGGCGAAGGCGACUUUCUGGUCUGUAACUGACGCUGAUGUGCGAAAGCGUGGGGAUCAAACAGGAUUAGAUACCCUGGUAGUCCACGCCGUAAACGAUGAGUGCUAAGUGUUAGGGGGUUUCCGCCCCUUAGUGCUGCAGCUAACGCAUUAAGCACUCCGCCUGGGGAGUACGACCGCAAGGUUGAAACUCAAAGGAAUUGACGGGGACCCGCACAAGCGGUGGAGCAUGUGGUUUAAUUCGAAGCAACGCGAAGAACCUUACCAAAUCUUGACAUCCUUUGACAACUCUAGAGAUAGAGCUUUCCCCUUCGGGGGACAAAGUGACAGGUGGUGCAUGGUUGUCGUCAGCUCGUGUCGUGAGAUGUUGGGUUAAGUCCCGCAACGAGCGCAACCCUUAAGCUUAGUUGCCAUCAUUAAGUUGGGCACUCUAAGUUGACUGCCGGUGACAAACCGGAGGAAGGUGGGGAUGACGUCAAAUCAUCAUGCCCCUUAUGAUUUGGGCUACACACGUGCUACAAUGGACAAUACAAAGGGCAGCGAAACCGUGAGGUCAAGCAAAUCCCAUAAAGUUGUUCUCAGUUCGGAUUGUAGUCUGCAACUCGACUACAUGAAGCUGGAAUCGCUAGUAAUCGUAGAUCAGCAUGCUACGGUGAAUACGUUCCCGGGUCU